Molecule: transfer RNA, 67 nt
Filed under: Marmota monax (woodchuck)
Lineage: Eukaryota; Metazoa; Chordata; Mammalia; Rodentia; Sciuridae
Description: tRNA.Ala
Rfam family: tRNA
About the family: Transfer RNA (tRNA) molecules are approximately 80 nucleotides in length. Their secondary structure includes four short double-helical elements and three loops (D, anti-codon, and T loops). Further hydrogen bonds mediate the characteristic L-shaped molecular structure. tRNAs have two regions of fundamental functional importance: the anti-codon, which is responsible for specific mRNA codon recognition, and the 3' end, to which the tRNAs corresponding amino acid is attached (by aminoacyl-tRNA synthetases). tRNAs cope with the degeneracy of the genetic code in two manners: having more than one tRNA (with a specific anti-codon) for a particular amino acid; and 'wobble' base-pairing, i.e. permitting non-standard base-pairing at the 3rd anti-codon position.
Source: RNAcentral
GGUUGUGGCUCAGUGAUAGAGUACUUGCCUAGCAUGCAUGAGGCACUGGGUUCAAUCCCUGGCACCA